ACGCACGCUGGCGGCAUGCCUCAUCCCUGCCAGUCGCACGAGAUCUUCGGAUCUAGUGGCGCACGGGUGCGUCACGCGUGGGAAUCUGCCCUUGGGUUCGGAAUAACUUCUGGAAACGGAAGCUAAUACCGGAUGAUGACGUAAGUCCAAAGAUUUAUCGCCCAAGGAUGAGCCCGCGUAGGAUUAGGUAGUUGGUGAGGUAAAGGCUCACCAAGCCGACGAUCCUUAGCUGGUCUGAGAGGAUGAUCAGCCACACUGGGACUGAGACACGGCCCAGACUCCUACGGGAGGCAGCAGUAGGGAAUAUUGGACAAUGGGCGAAAGCCUGAUCCAGCAAUGCCGCGUGAGUGAUGAAGGCCUUAGGGUUGUAAAGCUCUUUUACCCGGGAUGAUAAUGACAGUACCGGGAGAAUAAGCUCCGGCUAACUCCGUG
This 432-nucleotide ribosomal RNA is filed under the name uncultured bacterium. Its description in RNAcentral is "partial 16S ribosomal RNA". It matches the Rfam family "Bacterial small subunit ribosomal RNA", at positions 29 to 507 of the family's 1533-position model. The record is from RNAcentral.